Molecule: ribosomal RNA, 465 nt
Filed under: Vreelandella stevensii
Lineage: Bacteria; Pseudomonadati; Pseudomonadota; Gammaproteobacteria; Oceanospirillales; Halomonadaceae
Description: partial 16S ribosomal RNA
Rfam family: Bacterial small subunit ribosomal RNA
Source: RNAcentral
CCUACGGGCGGCAGCAGUGGGGAAUAUUGGACAAUGGGCGAAAGCCUGAUCCAGCCAUGCCGCGUGUGUGAAGAAGGCCUUCGGGUUGUAAAGCACUUUCAGUGGGGAAGAAAGCCUUGGGGCUAAUACCCUCGAGGAAGGACAUCACCCACAGAAGAAGCACCGGCUAACUCCGUGCCAGCAGCCGCGGUAAUACGGAGGGUGCGAGCGUUAAUCGGAAUUACUGGGCGUAAAGCGCGCGUAGGCGGUCUGAUAAGCCGGUUGUGAAAGCCCCGGGCUCAACCUGGGAACGGCAUCCGGAACUAUCAGGCUAGAGUGCAGGAGAGGAAGGUAGAAUUCCCGGUGUAGCAGUGAAAUGCGUAGAGAUCGGGAGGAAUACCAGUGGCGAAGGCGGCCUUCUGGACUGACACUGACGCUGAGGUGCGAAAGCGUGGGUAGCAAACAGGAUUAGAUACCCGGGUAGUC